Molecule: ribosomal RNA, 794 nt
Filed under: Klebsiella pneumoniae subsp. pneumoniae
Lineage: Bacteria; Pseudomonadati; Pseudomonadota; Gammaproteobacteria; Enterobacterales; Enterobacteriaceae
Description: partial 23S ribosomal RNA
Rfam family: Bacterial large subunit ribosomal RNA
Source: RNAcentral
UGGCUGGGGGUGAAAGGCCAAUCAAACCGGGAGAUAGCUGGUUCUCCCCGAAAGCUAUUUAGGUAGCGCCUCGUGAAUUCAUCUUCGGGGGUAGAGCACUGUUUCGGCUAGGGGGUCAUCCCGACUUACCAACCCGAUGCAAACUACGAAUACCGAAGAAUGUUAUCACGGGAGACACACGGCGGGUGCUAACGUCCGUCGUGAAGAGGGAAACAACCCAGACCGCCAGCUAAGGUCCCAAAGUCAUGGUUAAGUGGGAAACGAUGUGGGAAGGCACAGACAGCCAGGAUGUUGGCUUAGAAGCAGCCAUCAUUUAAAGAAAGCGUAAUAGCUCACUGGUCGAGUCGGCCUGCGCGGAAGAUGUAACGGGGCUAAACCAUGCACCGAAGCUGCGGCAGCGACACUAUGUGUUGUUGGGUAGGGGAGCGUUCUGUAAGCCUGCGAAGGUGUGCUGUGAGGCAUGCUGGAGGUAUCAGAAGUGCGAAUGCUGACAUAAGUAACGAUAAAGCGGGUGAAAAGCCCGCUCGCCGGAAGACCAAGGGUUCCUGUCCAACGUUAAUCGGGGCAGGGUGAGUCGACCCCUAAGGCGAGGCCGAAAGGCGUAGUCGAUGGGAAACAGGUUAAUAUUCCUGUACUUGGUGUUACUGCGAAGGGGGGACGGAGAAGGCUAUGUUAGCCGGGCGACGGUUGUCCCGGUUUAAGCAUGUAGGCUGGUUAUCCAGGCAAAUCCGGAUAAUCAAGGCUGAGGUGUGAUGACGAGGCACUACGGUGCUGAAGUAACAAAUGCCCUGCUU